RNAcentral lists this ribosomal RNA (465 nucleotides) under Vreelandella stevensii. RNAcentral describes it as "partial 16S ribosomal RNA". It matches the Rfam family "Bacterial small subunit ribosomal RNA", at positions 338 to 795 of the family's 1533-position model. The record is from RNAcentral. Lineage: Bacteria; Pseudomonadati; Pseudomonadota; Gammaproteobacteria; Oceanospirillales; Halomonadaceae.
CCUACGGGGUGCAGCAGUGGGGAAUAUUGGACAAUGGGCGAAAGCCUGAUCCAGCCAUGCCGCGUGUGUGAAGAAGGCCUUCGGGUUGUAAAGCACUUUCAGUGGGGAAGAAAGCCUUGGGGCUAAUACCCUCGAGGAAGGACAUCACCCACAGAAGAAGCACCGGCUAACUCCGUGCCAGCAGCCGCGGUAAUACGGAGGGUGCGAGCGUUAAUCGGAAUUACUGGGCGUAAAGCGCGCGUAGGCGGUCUGAUAAGCCGGUUGUGAAAGCCCCGGGCUCAACCUGGGAACGGCAUCCGGAACUGUCAGGCUAGAGUGCAGGAGAGGAAGGUAGAAUUCCCGGUGUAGCGGUGAAAUGCGUAGAGAUCGGGAGGAAUGCCAGUGGCGAAGGCGGCCUUCUGGACUGACACUGACGCUGAGGUGCGAAAGCGUGGGUAGCAAACAGGAUUAGAUACCCGAGUAGUC